GACAAACGCUGGCGGCGUACCUAAGACAUGCAAGUCGAACGGGUGCUUUUCCUUCGGGAGAAGUUGCGAGUGGCGGAUGGGUGAGUAACGCGUAGGAACCUGUCGCAUAGUGGGGGAUAACGCUGGGAAACCGGCGCUAAUACCGCAUGAGGUCAGAGAUGAAGAAAGCGAGCAAUCGCGCUAUGUGAGGGGCCUGCGUCCGAUUAGCUCGUUGGUGGGGUAAAGGCCUACCAAGGCGACGAUCGGUAGCUGGUCUGAGAGGAUGGUCAGCCACACU
Molecule: ribosomal RNA, 277 nt
Filed under: uncultured bacterium
Lineage: Bacteria
Description: partial 16S ribosomal RNA
Rfam family: Bacterial small subunit ribosomal RNA
Source: RNAcentral